UUGUCCGGAUUUACUGGGUGUAAAGGGCGUGUAGCCGGGAGGGCAAGUCAGAUGUGAAAUCCACGGGCUCAACUCGUGAACUGCAUUUGAAACUACUCUUCUUGAGUAUCGGAGAGGCAAUCGGAAUUCCUAGUGUAGCGGUGAAAUGCGUAGAUAUUAGGAGUAACACCAGUGGCGAAGGCGGAUUGCUGGACGACAACUGACGGUGAGGCGCGAAAGCGUGGGGAGCAAACAGGAUUAGAUACCCUGGUAGUCCACGCUGUAAACGAUGAAUACUAGGUGUGCGGGGACUGACCCCCUGCGUGCCGCAGCUAACGCAAUAAGUAUUCCACCUGGGGAGUACGAUCGCAAGGUUGAAACUCAAAGGAAUUGACGGGGGCCCGCACAAGCGGUGGAUUAUGUGGUUUAAUUCGAAGCAACGCGAAGAA
This 428-nucleotide ribosomal RNA is filed under the name uncultured bacterium. RNAcentral describes it as "bacterial SSU rRNA". It matches the Rfam family "Bacterial small subunit ribosomal RNA", at positions 541 to 968 of the family's 1533-position model. The record is from RNAcentral.